AUGAAGAUGUGUCCCCACCCUCACCGUCCUGCCCCCUCUAGUGAGGAGCUGUCCAGUACAACAACAGCCACACUGACGUGUCUGGCCAACAAGGGCUUCCCCUCAGACUGGACCAUGAGCUGGAAAGUGGAUGGGACCAGCAAGAAGCAGGAGGCCAGUCCCGGGGUCCUGGAGAAGGACGGCCUGUACAGCUGGAGCAGCACCCUGACUCUCACUGCCCAGGAGUGGACCAAGGCAGGAGAGGUGACCUGUGAAGCCCAGCAGAAAUCCCAGACUCCAGUCACCAAGACCCUGAGGAGGGCUGACUGUUCUGGGUAGGACCCCUCAGUCACACAGCCCUGUGGAGAGAGGCUGCUGGUUCCUCUGCUUUGACUCUGUUCUGAGAUCAGAUGUUCUCUG
Molecule: non-coding RNA, 399 nt
Organism: Coregonus clupeaformis (lake whitefish)
Lineage: Eukaryota; Metazoa; Chordata; Actinopteri; Salmoniformes; Salmonidae
Source: the annotation of a RefSeq genome assembly